GCAGCACACAGCGACGAAGAUCCGGGCUGGAUUCUAGAGCACGGUCGCCCCAGCGCGGCCCGGGAAGUCAGUGGCAAGACCGCCUGAGCAGC
Molecule: non-coding RNA, 92 nt
Filed under: unclassified sequences
Description: c-di-GMP sequence
Rfam family: c-di-GMP-II-GAG riboswitch aptamer
Source: Rfam by way of RNAcentral